GUGCCAGCAGCCGCGGUAAUACAGAGGUCUCAAGCGUUGUUCGGAAUCACUGGGCGUAAAGGGUGCGUAGGUGGCGUGGUAAGUCAGAUGUGAAAGCCCGGGGCUCAACCUCGGAACUGCAUCCGAUACUGCCAUGCUAGAGUACUGGAGAGGUGACUAGAAUUCUCGGUGUAGCAGUGAAAUGCGUAGAUAUCGAGAGGAAUACCAAAGGCGUAGGCAGGUCACUGGACAGUUACUGACACUGAGGCACGAAGGCCAGGGGAGCGAACGGGAUUAGAUACCCCCGUAGUCC
This 292-nucleotide ribosomal RNA is filed under the name uncultured bacterium. Its description in RNAcentral is "partial 16S ribosomal RNA". It matches the Rfam family "Bacterial small subunit ribosomal RNA", at positions 505 to 796 of the family's 1533-position model. The record is from RNAcentral.